GGAGAGGUUAGCCGUAAGGCGAAGCUUUGAACUUAAGCCCCAGUAAACGGCGGCCGUAACUAUAACGGUCCUAAGGUAGCGAAAUUCCUUGUCGGGUAAGUUCCGACCCGCACGAAAGGCGUAAUGAUUUGGGCACUGUCUCAACAAUGCACCCGGUGAAAUUGAAAUACCAGUGAAGAUGCUGGUUACCUGCGCCAGGACGGAAAGACCCCAUGGAGCUUUACUCCAGCUUGAUACUGGGAUUCGAUAUUGCAUGUACAGGAUAGGUGGGAGACUGAGAACUGAUGACGCCAGUUGUCAGGGAGUCACUGUUGGGAUACCACCCUUGUAGUAUUGGAUUUCUAACCAGCAGCCGUGAACCGGCUGGGGGACAAUGUCAGGUGGGGAGUUUGACUGGGGCGGUCGCCUCCGAAAGGGUAUCGGAGGCGCUCAAAGGUUCCCUCAGAAUGGUUGGAAACCAUUCGAAGAGUGCAAAGGCAGAAGGGAGCUUGACUGCGACACCGACGGGUGGAGCAGGUACGAAAGUAGGACUUAGUGAUCCGGUGGUAUAAAGUGGGAUUGCCAUCGCUCAACGGAUAAAAGCUACCCUGGGGAUAACAGGCUUAUCACUCCCAAGAGUUCACAUCGACGGAGUGGUUUGGCACCUCGAUGUCGGCUCAUCGCAUCCUGGGGCUGAAGUAGGUCCCAAGGGUUGGGCUGUUCGCCCAUUAAAGCGGUACGCGAGCUGGGUUCAGAACGUCGUGAGACAGUUCGGUCCCUAUCCGGCGUGGGCGUAGGAUAUUUGAGAGGAGCUGCCCUUAGUACGAGAGGACCGGGGUGGACUGGCCGCUGGUGGAUCUGUUGUAUUACCAAAUGCAUAGCAGAGUAGCCAAGCCGGGACGGGAUAAACGCUGAAGGCAUCUAAGCGUGAAGCCCCCCUCAAGAUGAGAUAUCCCAUAACGUCAAGUUAGUAAGACCCCUUGAAGACGACGAGGUAGAUAGGGCAGAGGUGGAAGUGCGGUAACGCAUGGAGCUGACUGUUACUAAUAGGUCGAGGGCAUAACCAAG
RNAcentral lists this ribosomal RNA (1047 nucleotides) under Mediterraneibacter gnavus. Its description in RNAcentral is "partial 23S ribosomal RNA". It matches the Rfam family "Bacterial large subunit ribosomal RNA", at positions 1883 to 2925 of the family's 2925-position model. Lineage: Bacteria; Bacillati; Bacillota; Clostridia; Lachnospirales; Lachnospiraceae. The record is from RNAcentral.